UUUUCUGACUUGAGGUCCUUCACAGAAGUACUCUUUGGCCUAGAUCUCUCCACAUAUUCUCUGUACCUAGCCCGGGGACAUCGAGGAGUUUAUGAAAUUGUUUUAAGGGUAGGGUGGAGUUAGUCACCAGGCCAAGAUGCUGUGUGUGGAAAGCGACAUCCUCCUACGCGCCGGGACUGCGCCCGGAGCUGGCGCCACCGCGGGGAGGGACGGCGUUUGGCUCAGCGUCUGUGUUUGCGGUGUGAGACCCGACGCAGAUGGCUGGGCCCCCUGGAAGGGGCGAGGCCGGGAACCCCGUGCUCCAGGCCUGGCCACCCCGCCUGCCUGUAUGAACUUCAUCUCCAACUGCCUCUGCCUGGCUGCGGCCACUUUUCCAAUACGAUUCUGACAGUGAUCCCCGGUAGCCGCGCUGCGGCCUUUGAGAACUGACAGCAAAUUGGCUGGAGUCUCCAGCAAUGUCUCUAUGUGGUGGGGGCAGGGCUCCCAAUUGGAUCCCACUUGACAGUUGACUGUCCCCUGCGCUGCACACCAACUCUGAGCCCUGUCAGAAGUCAUCGAAAUCCAGGAACACCCAGUCUGCGAUCAGGAGUGGGGAGAGAAGGACGAGUGGAGUGGAGAACCUUGAGCUGCCAGUGGCGCUGUCCUUGGUCCUGACAAAGUCUUAUGCGUGAACCCGAACACUAGCCUAUGUGGACCCCACCCCCAAACUCCCCACUGUUUCCUUUGAAGGUUACUGAAUGGUUCUGGAUGAAGAACCAAUGGGCUGAAGCUGUACCUCACCAGCACUCAAUCCCAGAUUGGACUUCUCUCCUACACCAUCUCCCUUUUCUCAAAGCAACUCCCCGUCCAAUCAACGUUCCUUGAGGAAAUCAGACUGGUAUGGACUCAAAAGUUACCUGUACAGAGCUCCCCGAGAAAGAUUCCCCAGGUCCCAGGAGACGGCCUGAGCAGUCUCAUGAGAUAAAUGGACUGGAUGUGGGGGUGGGGCUCUGUGGUGACCGUAAGUGUUGACGCCCAUCCAACUAAAAGCAAUAUGGUGCACAUGCCUUUAAUUGCAGCACUGGGAGUCAGGGGGCUGAGGCAGUGGUGGGCAAAAGCAGGCAGUCUCUGUGAGUUCCAGGACAGCCUGGUCUACCAAGUAAACUCUAGAUCGACCCAGGGUAUUUAUUGAAACCCUGUCUCAAACAAACAAAUCAAACGUUUUUCCUUUGACUUGUCAUCCCAUCUGUCCUCCUCAAACAAUAGUGUUUGGGUUCCGUGGUAGAACACUUGCCCACUCAUCACAAGUUACUGGGUUCAGCCCCCAGCACUGGUGGUGGGGCGGGGAUGUUAAACCAAAAACCAAAAGCAGGUCUGGAGAGAUGGCUCAGCGGCUAAGGGAGAGCACACUGUUCUUCCAGAGGACCUGAGUCAGUACCCAGUACCCAAGUCAGGUGGCUCACAAAUACUUGGAAUUCUAUCUCCAGGGGACCCGAUGCCCACUUCUGGACUUCACUGGUACCCACACACAAAUACACACUCUCACACAUGAACACAUACACACAUACGCGUGUUCACACACUCAUACACACAGAGGCAUACAUGUAGAAGUUUGAAUACGCUUGGAUCACACUAUUAGGAGGUGUGUCCUUGUUGGAAUAGGUGUGCCCUUAUUGGAGGAAGGGUGUCACUGUGAGUGUGGGCUUAGCCAGUGUAGCAGCUGUUCAGCCGGUUGUCAACUUGACUAGAUCUGGAAUGAACUACAAUCCAGAAUUGGAAAGCUCACCUAUGAUCCUAAUCUGGAGGCUCAGAGAUACAAGUUUCUGACCUCGAUCUUGUCGAUCUUGUCGUGGAGAUCUUGAAGCAUAGUGGCUAUGAAUUCCAGAAGAUUAAGACAGGGAGAUCUCUGAGUUCAAGGUCAUCUGGAAUUAAAGGCGUGGGGGGGGGCACAUGCCUCUAAUCUGGAGACUUACAUAAGGACUUUGGAAGAAGGAAGACUGACUCACUCUUCCUUGCCUGCUUGCCUUGUGGGCCUGAGCAACUGCUAGAUCCUUGGACUUCCAUCCACAGCUGCUGCUGACCAUUGUUGGGGAGUUGGACCACAGGCUGUAAGUCAUCAACAAAUUCCCUUACUAUAUAGAGACUACCCACACGUUCUGUGACUCUAGAGAACCCUGACUAAUACAGCCAGUUUUCUCUUGUUUGUCUUUGGAACAAGAUGUUGAACUCUCAGCUUCUCCUGCACCAUACCUGCCUGGAUACUGCAAUGCUUCCUGCCUUGAUGCUAAUGCACUGAACUUGUGAGCCUGUAAGCCGGCCCCAAUUAAAUGUCGUCCUUUGAAAGAGUUGCCAUGGUCAUGGUGUCUCUUCACAGCCAUAGAAACCCUAAGACAAUAUACAUAACUAAAAAUAAAAUAAAUCUUUAAAAUAAAA
Long non-coding RNA from Apodemus sylvaticus (European woodmouse), 2412 nucleotides. RefSeq lists it as uncharacterized. The transcript has 3 exons. The record is from RefSeq and is a predicted model, not a curated record. NCBI's taxonomy places the organism in Eukaryota, Metazoa, Chordata, Mammalia, Rodentia, Muridae.